ACAACUGUUACCAGGUAAAAAUAGUAACGUAUCAUUUAUUUAUGGAAAUUAUUUCUGGGUUUCUUACUUCUAGGUAUAAAUCACAAAAUCAUGGAAACAUAGAAUGAUUUGGGUUGGAAGGUACCCCAAAGAUCGUGUAAUCAUAGAACCAUAGAAUGGUUUGGGUUGAAAAGGACCCUUAACAAUCGAUCAUCUUGUUCCAACACCCCUACCAUGGGCAGGGACACCUCUCACUAGACUGGGUUGCUGGGAUGGGGCAUCCACAGCUUCUCUGGACAACCUGUUCCAAUGCCUCACCACCCUCAUCACAAAUAAUUUCUUCCUAAUAUCUAAUCUAAGCCUACCUUGUUUUAGUUUAAAACCAUUACCCCUUGUCCUGUUGCUACACUCCCUGAUAAAAAGUCUCUCCCCAUUUUUCCUGUAGGCCCCCUUUAAGUGCUGAAAAGUCAGUAUAAGGUCUUUCGCUCUCUAGACUGAUCAACUUUCUCAGCCUCAGCCUGUCUUCAGAGAAGUGCUCCAGCUCCCUGAUCAUUUUUGUGGCCAUCCUCCUGACCCAUUUUAAAAGAUUUGUGUCUUUCUCAUGCCCCAGAGCUGAACUCAGUACUCCAGGUGGGGUCUCACAAGAGCAGAGUAGAGGGGAGAAUGAAGGUGAAGUCUGGAACAAAGAGCUCUCAAUAGAGAAAAAGAGAAGGAAAGAACCAUAUGCGAACUCCUCUACCAUUCAGUAGAUGCAUAAGGCUUUCUAACCUGGUCAUGGAAAAUUAUGAAUUCACAGCAUGUAGCCAACUUCAAUAAAGAAGCCCACAGAUAUUGAGACUCCA
This 821-nucleotide long non-coding RNA is filed under the name Anas platyrhynchos platyrhynchos (common mallard). RNAcentral's name for it is "lncRNA (ENSAPLG00000027681.1)". The record is from RNAcentral. Lineage: Eukaryota; Metazoa; Chordata; Aves; Anseriformes; Anatidae.